Molecule: long non-coding RNA, 737 nt
Filed under: Brassica rapa (field mustard)
Lineage: Eukaryota; Viridiplantae; Streptophyta; Magnoliopsida; Brassicales; Brassicaceae
Description: long non-coding RNA (BRAP_LNC002077)
Source: RNAcentral
GUAACAACAGGUGGCGGUGGGCACGGUGAUGGCGGUGGCGGUGGGCACGGUGAUGGCGGCGUUACGACGGGUGGAGGCGUAUGAGUGGGUGGUUUAGGGGUGGACGGAGGUGGUUUAACAGUGGGCGGUUUCGUGGGUGGUUUCGGGGUAGACGGAGGAGGUUUAACGGUGGGCGGUUUCGUGGGUGGUUUCGGGGUGGACGGAGGUGGUUUAACGGUGGGCGGUUUCGUGGGUGGUUUCGGGGUGGGAUGAGGUUUGGUAGGGGGUUUCGGAUGUGGGUGUGGUUUGACAGUGGGCGGUUUGGUAGGGGGUUUAGGGUGUGGGUGUGGUUUGACGGUGGGUGGUUUGGGAGGUUUUACUGCCGGUGGUUUAGGCGGUUUGCUAGGAUGUUUAGGCGGUUUGUGGGGGUGAGGUGAUGGUUUAGGAGGGCUACAGUCGCAAGCGAAGGAGACGGCAAGAAAGCCAAGGAAGAGGAAGAUAAGAAAAGAGAGGUUUUGUGUACGAGACCCCAUUUUUCUAGAGUGAGGGUGUGGUUUACCCAAAGGACUGAGUAAGAAAGAUAUAUGAGUGUAUCAUUUUAUAGAAAGAUAUUAAAAUAUAUUUGCUAUAUAUAAUUUUCAAAUAUGCAUUUUGUGACUAGAUUAUUGAAACUGAAUUUCAGUUUUUGUUUUUGUUUUGAAAUCUAGAUUUUGUAGCAUGUGUUAAGUCACUUAGUUACAACUUACAAGUUGUCAUUU